RNAcentral lists this long non-coding RNA (229 nucleotides) under Mytilus galloprovincialis (Mediterranean mussel). Lineage: Eukaryota; Metazoa; Mollusca; Bivalvia; Mytilida; Mytilidae. The record is from RNAcentral.
GACCGGCUGAACAAUUUCUGUUCUACUAAAGAUACAUUCUGUUUGAAUUACAAGUCAAAUAAAGAGUCCCAAAUGGUCCAAGGACACAGUUAUCGAAUAUAGUCCCUAGUGUAAACAGUGUAUAACUUGCAUGUUUUAUUUAAUACACUUUCCCAAUUUAUUUCUUGAUAUUAAAUGCAUGAAAUAUUAAGUAGGGGGAUGUAAUUACAUGUUAAAAAAAUUUGGGUGC